This 468-nucleotide ribosomal RNA is filed under the name uncultured bacterium. RNAcentral describes it as "partial 16S ribosomal RNA". It matches the Rfam family "Bacterial small subunit ribosomal RNA", at positions 28 to 507 of the family's 1533-position model. The record is from RNAcentral.
GACGAACGCUGGCGGCGUGCUUAACACAUGCAAGUCGAACGGAAAGGCCCUGCUUUUGUGGGGUGCUCGAGUGGCGAACGGGUGAGUAACACGUGAGUAACCUGCCCUUGACUUUGGGAUAACUUCAGGAAACUGGGGCUAAUACCGGAUAGGAGCUCCUGCUGCAUGGUGGGGGUUGGAAAGCUUCGGCGGUUGGGGAUGGACUCGCGGCUUAUCAGCUUGUUGGUGGGGUAGUGGCUUACCAAGGCUUUGACGGGUAGCCGGCCUGAGAGGGUGACCGGCCACAUUGGGACUGAGAUACGGCCCAGACUCCUACGGGAGGCAGCAGUGGGGAAUAUUGCACAAUGGGCGGAAGCCUGAUGCAGCAACGCCGCGUGCGGGAUGACGGCCUUCGGGUUGUAAACCGCUUUCGCCCGUGACGAAGCGUGAGUGACGGUAAUGGGUAAAGAAGCACCGGCUAACUACGUG